AGCAUGCCGAACAAUUAAGUUCCGUUUAUACCUACAAAAUUAGAGAGUGUUCAUUUAGAUUCCAGUUACACCCGCACACUGCACUUACACUUUUCACAGCUCUCUAUACUUGUUAAGUUAAUACGGUUUUGACCAGGCACGUCAGGCCAACAAACAUUGAUAGAGCUAAAUUCCAAAUUGAUUAACAAUGUUAAUAUCACGCUUGCGUAACGAGCUGAUAAACUAUUGCUCGACUGAACUGAAGAGCUGGACACGUGAGACACGGCGCCUGGAGAGCUUGGGGCGUGGCAUAAUUGGGCUUCUUGCUAAGCUGCCCAUGCGUGAUAACUCCCAGCCAGAGUUUGUGUGGCUCUUCGCAAGUGCUCCGGCUGAUUUGUGACACCUACGAGACUUAAGUGUAUCGAGACGAAUAUAUUGACAGUUAUGCCCCAUACCAACUGGAUGCUGGGGAAGCUUUUCAGAGGCAACGAUUGACCAAGUAUAGAUAGGUCCCACUGCCUAUGCGUAAUAACCCUCAGCUGGAAUAUGUGACGUGGACCUAUUUACGUCCAGGGGCAUAAAGUCGCGUUAUGUAAAUUGAGAAUGUUGUUUGAUAAGCACAAGCAGCCAAAUAUGAAAUUGUCUCUGUUUUGAUGUUAAUUCACAUAUGAUAAGACUGCAUUUCCUCACCAUUCGGGCAGACAAGCAUGAGACUAAAUCUAUAAGCAGGCAUGAUGCACACCUAUUUUUGGAUGGUUACGCUUCCAACUGCCUCAUCCUAGAGGGUAUUGGAAGACAUCUGCGAUUCCAUGAAAUAC
This 797-nucleotide small RNA is filed under the name Drosophila mojavensis. Its description in RNAcentral is "GI26452". The record is from RNAcentral. Lineage: Eukaryota; Metazoa; Arthropoda; Insecta; Diptera; Drosophilidae.